RNAcentral lists this transfer RNA (74 nucleotides) under Danionella translucida. It matches the Rfam family "tRNA". From Rfam's summary of the family: Transfer RNA (tRNA) molecules are approximately 80 nucleotides in length. Their secondary structure includes four short double-helical elements and three loops (D, anti-codon, and T loops). Further hydrogen bonds mediate the characteristic L-shaped molecular structure. tRNAs have two regions of fundamental functional importance: the anti-codon, which is responsible for specific mRNA codon recognition, and the 3' end, to which the tRNAs corresponding amino acid is attached (by aminoacyl-tRNA synthetases). tRNAs cope with the degeneracy of the genetic code in two manners: having more than one tRNA (with a specific anti-codon) for a particular amino acid; and 'wobble' base-pairing, i.e. permitting non-standard base-pairing at the 3rd anti-codon position. RNAcentral also lists the same sequence under 1 other name. The record is from Rfam by way of RNAcentral. Lineage: Eukaryota; Metazoa; Chordata; Actinopteri; Cypriniformes; Danionidae.
GUCUCUGUGGCACAUACGGUUAGCGCGUUCGGCUGUUAAUUGAAAGGUUGGUGGUUUAAGCCCACCCAGGGACG